Molecule: ribosomal RNA, 496 nt
Filed under: uncultured bacterium
Lineage: Bacteria
Description: partial 16S ribosomal RNA
Rfam family: Bacterial small subunit ribosomal RNA
Source: RNAcentral
GAUGAACGCUGGCGGCGUGCCUAAUACAUGCAAGUCGAGCGAACAGACGAGGAGCUUGCUCCUCUGACGUUAGCGGCGGACGGGUGAGUAACACGUGGAUAACCUACCUAUAAGACUGGGAUAACUUCGGGAAACCGGAGCUAAUACCGGAUAAUAUAUUGAACCGCAUGGUUCAAUAGUGAAAGCGGGUUUGCUUGUACCUAAUAGUUGAUCCGCGCCGCAUUAGCUAGUUGGUAAGGUAACGGCUUACCAAGGCAACGAUGCGUAGCCGACCUGAGAGGGUGAUCGGCCACACUGGAACUGAGACACGGUCCAGACUCCUACGGGAGGCAGCAGUAGGGAAUCUUCCGCAAUGGGCGAAAGCCUGACGGAGCAACGCCGCGUGAGUGAUGAAGGUCUUCGGAUCGUAAAACUCUGUUAUUAGGGAAGAACAAAUGUGUAAGUAACUAUGCACGUCUUGACGGUACCUAAUCAGAAAGCCACGGCUAACUACGUG